GCUCGAGUGGUGGCCCGGCGAGAAGGACUUAAAAUCCUUUGGCCAUUGCGGCUGUGCGGGUUCAAGUCCCGCUUCGAGUA
This 80-nucleotide transfer RNA is filed under the name Bacteroides uniformis. RNAcentral's name for it is "tRNA-OTHER". It matches the Rfam family "tRNA". Rfam says of the family: Transfer RNA (tRNA) molecules are approximately 80 nucleotides in length. Lineage: Bacteria; Pseudomonadati; Bacteroidota; Bacteroidia; Bacteroidales; Bacteroidaceae. The record is from RNAcentral.